This 252-nucleotide ribosomal RNA is filed under the name uncultured bacterium. RNAcentral describes it as "partial 16S ribosomal RNA". It matches the Rfam family "Bacterial small subunit ribosomal RNA", at positions 524 to 776 of the family's 1533-position model. The record is from RNAcentral.
UACGUAGGGGGCAAGCGUUGUCCGGAAUUAUUGGGCGUAAAGCGCGCGCAGGCGGUUCUUUAAGUCUGGUGUCUAAGUGCGGGGCUCAACCCCGUGAUGCACUGGAAACUGGGGAACUUGAGUGCAGAAGAGGAGAGCGGAAUUCCACGUGUAGCGGUGAAAUGCGUAGAGAUGUGGAGGAACACCAGUGGCGAAGGCGGCAUCCUGGACCGGCAUUGACGCUGAGGCGCGAAAGCCAGGGGAGCAAACGGG